Molecule: ribosomal RNA, 372 nt
Filed under: Tubifex tubifex (sludge worm)
Lineage: Eukaryota; Metazoa; Annelida; Clitellata; Tubificida; Naididae
Description: partial 16S ribosomal RNA
Rfam family: Bacterial large subunit ribosomal RNA
Source: RNAcentral
CGCCCGCGGUAUCCUGACCGUGCAAAGGUAGCAUAAUCAUUUGCCUAUUAAUUGUAGGCUAGAAUGAAAGGACAAACGAGAAUAUCCCUGUCUCCUUUAAGACACUAAAAAUUUAUCUUUAAGUGAAGAAGCUUAAAUUUCUAUGCAGGACAAGAAGACCCUAUAGAGCUUUACCUAAAAAUUGCAAUAUUGGCAAAUAAGGGUUCGGUUGGGGCGACCAGGGGAUAUUUAUCACCCCUAAUAACUUAGACCCACCGGGUCAUUAAAAGAUCCUUACUUAAGAUCAACGAAUCNAGCUACCUUAGGGAUAACAGGCUAAUCCUCUUAGAGAGCCCUUAUCGACAAGAGGGGUUGGCACCUCGAUGUUGGCUU